UACGAAGGAUGCAAGCGUUAUCCGGAUUCAUUGGGUUUAAAGGGAGCGUAGGUGGACCUGUAAGUCAGUGGUGAAAUCUCUCAGCUUAACUGAGAAACUGCCAUUGAUACUGCAAGUCUAGAGUAUAGAUGACGUUGGCGGAAUAUGACAUGUAGUGGUGAAAUACUUAGAUAUGUCAUAGAACACCGAUUGCGAAGGCAGCUAACGAAACUAUAACUGACGCUGAGGCACGAAAGUGCGGGGAUCAAACAGG
This 253-nucleotide ribosomal RNA is filed under the name uncultured bacterium. Its description in RNAcentral is "partial 16S ribosomal RNA". It matches the Rfam family "Bacterial small subunit ribosomal RNA", at positions 524 to 776 of the family's 1533-position model. The record is from RNAcentral.